CAAAAAACAAAAAAACCGCAGCUUCCUUGGUAGUAUAUGCAGCCUGUUUGUUGUAUGGGUUGCUCUAAGGGACCUUGGAGACAGGC
This 86-nucleotide small nucleolar RNA is filed under the name Macaca fascicularis (crab-eating macaque). Its description in RNAcentral is "Small nucleolar RNA SNORA70 (ENSMFAG00000058527.1)". It matches the Rfam family "Small nucleolar RNA SNORA70". From Rfam's summary of the family: snoRNA U70 seems to be exclusive to mammals and is a member of the H/ACA class of snoRNA which contain H (ANANNA) and ACA box motifs. H/ACA box snoRNAs are involved in the conversion of uridines to pseudouridines (5-ribosyluracil) a constituent of structural RNAs (transfer, ribosomal, small nuclear, and small nucleolar). Lineage: Eukaryota; Metazoa; Chordata; Mammalia; Primates; Cercopithecidae. The record is from Rfam by way of RNAcentral.